This 396-nucleotide ribosomal RNA is filed under the name uncultured microorganism. Its description in RNAcentral is "bacterial SSU rRNA". It matches the Rfam family "Archaeal small subunit ribosomal RNA", at positions 330 to 731 of the family's 1478-position model. The record is from RNAcentral.
GUGCAGCAGGCGCGAAACUUUACAAUGUGCGAAAGCACGAUAAGGGAACUCUGAGUGCCUCCUAAGGAGGCUGUUCAGGUGUCUAAAAGCACCUGAAGGAAGGGCUGGGUAAGACCGGUGCCAGCCGCCGCGGUAACACCGGCAGCCCAAGUGGUAGCCACGUUUAUUGGGUCUAAAGCGUCCGUAGCCGGCUGGGUAAGUUCCUUGGGAAAUUUGGCUGCUUAACAGUCAAGCUUUCAGGGAAUACUGCCCGGCUUGGGACCGGGAGAGGGUCAGAGGGUACUCCAGGGGUAGGGGUGAAAUCCAUUAAUCCUUGGGGGACCACCGGUAGCGAAGGCGUCUGACCAGACCGGGUCCGACGGUGAGGGACGAAGGCUAGGGGCGCGAACCGGAUUA